GACGAACGCUGGCGGCGUGCUUAACACAUGCAAGUCGAACGGAAAGGCCCUGCUCUUGUGGGGCGCUCGAGUGGCGAACGGGUGAGUAACACGUGUGUAACCUGCCCUUGACUUUGGGAUAACUUCAGGAAACUGGGGCUAAUACCGGAUAGGACCUCCUGCUGCAUGGUGGGGGUUGGUAAGUUUCGGCGGUUGGGGAUGGACGCGCGGCUUAUCAGCUUGUUGGUGGGGUAGUGGCUUACCAAGGCUUUGACGGGUAGCCGGCCUGAGAGGGUGACCGGCCACAGUGGGACUGAGAUGCGGCCCAGACUCCUGCGGGAGGCAGCGGUGGGGAAUAUUGCACAAUGGGCGGAAGCCGGAUGCAGCAACGCCGCGUGCGGGAUGACGGCCUUCGGGUUGUAACCCGUUUUCGCCUGUGACGAAGCGUGAGUGACGGUAAUGGGUAAAGAAGCACCGGCUAACUACGUG
RNAcentral lists this ribosomal RNA (468 nucleotides) under uncultured bacterium. RNAcentral's name for it is "partial 16S ribosomal RNA". It matches the Rfam family "Bacterial small subunit ribosomal RNA", at positions 28 to 507 of the family's 1533-position model. The record is from RNAcentral.